This 317-nucleotide ribosomal RNA is filed under the name uncultured Methylobacterium sp. RNAcentral's name for it is "bacterial SSU rRNA". It matches the Rfam family "Bacterial small subunit ribosomal RNA", at positions 14 to 359 of the family's 1533-position model. The record is from RNAcentral. Lineage: Bacteria; Pseudomonadati; Pseudomonadota; Alphaproteobacteria; Hyphomicrobiales; Methylobacteriaceae.
UGAUCCUGGCUCAGAGCGAACGCUGGCGGCAGGCUUAACACAUGCAAGUCGAGCGGGCCCUUCGGGGUCAGCGGCAGACGGGUGAGUAACGCGUGGGAACGUGCCCUUCGGUUCGGAAUAACUCAGGGAAACUUGAGCUAAUACCGGAUACGUGCUUAGGCAGAAAGGUUUACUGCCGAAGGAUCGGCCCGCGUCUGAUUAGCUGGUUGGUGAGGUUAUGGCUCACCAAGGCGACGAUCAGUAGCUGGUCUGAGAGGAUGAUCAGCCACACUGGGACUGAGACACGGCCCAGACUCCUACGGGAGGCAGCAGAAGGG